This 1081-nucleotide long non-coding RNA is filed under the name Gossypium raimondii (Peruvian cotton). RNAcentral's name for it is "long non-coding RNA (GRAI_LNC010890)". Lineage: Eukaryota; Viridiplantae; Streptophyta; Magnoliopsida; Malvales; Malvaceae. The record is from RNAcentral.
AAGAAUGAAGUCUAAAAGGGUUAUUUGAGAUUAUUUCAGACGUUGACCAAGAAAAGCCUAAGAGAUAAUGGUGAAAAAAGAAGAGAGGCAGAAACUUGAUGCAGAUCUUCAUCGGGCAAGGGGUCAGACAGAAUAUAAAGUUCUGGGUCUUCUGCAAGAACAAAAGGAGAUGAGGUAAAGCUAUAUACAGUAAAUGGGUAUAGGUAGAUUUACAUGUGAAAUUCUUGUUGUGGAUUGCUUUUCUGCCUUUCAACACAAAGCUUCAGAUAUUGAACAAGUAUCUUUGUAAUUGCUUUGCUUAUGGUGGUGAAAUUUUUGGUUACUUGCCACAGGGUUUCCCACUUAUAAAUCUUUGGUGUGCUUCGACUUUUCUGCUGAUAUGUUGUUUUGGGGUCGACUGAUUUGGUUGGAUCUGUCAGUAAUCUGUAAAUCUUGUGCUGAUUUAUUUUAGGGGUAUGAUUGUGUUGGAAUUUCAGUUUUGAGGUGGUUCGAUAGAACCCAACAGGAUACUGCUCCCAAAUGCAGUUUUCUCAAUACCAGAUGAAAAUGUUAAAUCUGCAAAGAAAUUAUGGUGUGUUGAAUCUCUUGGCCAACUAUCUUCAAUAUCCUUGAUGGGAAAUCCAAUUUGUUUAGAAGCUAUAUAUCAUGAAAUUUGUUUCUUGAAUUGGCCUCCCAUUAAAGUUUAUUGAAAAUUUCUUGACCCGAUCUAAAUUUGGUGCUAUAUGCACUUGGAGGGUUCAUGGCAACAACUAUUCAUGCUACAUUUGACUGGAAUUUGAGUACGAGAAUCACAUCUAAUACAAUUCUGUUCAGUGUUAUUCUUAUGUCGGAUGUGCAUUAAUGUUAUUCUUUUUAAGUUGUUUCAUGUAUUUGGAUUCUAUAUGUAUAUAUUAGGAAAAGAAAUAAUUAGAGCUAAAUAGAAAUGUACUUUCAAAUGCUCUUGGUUUUGUUAAUGAUAGUUGUUGACACUAUUUUUUUGAUAAAAUGAGGUCAACUUAGAUUUUGAAAACAAAAACGAAUAUGGGAGUCGCAACCAAUCUUUUUUUUGAUGAGAUGUAAUCGGGUCACCUCGUAAAAGUGG